GUGGGGAAUAUUGGACAAUGGGGGGAACCCUGAUCCAGCCAUGCCGCGUGUGUGAAGAAGGCCUUAUGGUUGUAAAGCACUUUAAGCGAGGAGGAGGCUACUAGUAUUAAUACUACUGGAUAGUGGACGUUACUCGCAGAAUAAGCACCGGCUAACUCUGUGCCAGCAGCCGCGGUAAUACAGAGGGUGCGAGCGUUAAUCGGAUUUACUGGGCGUAAAGCGUGCGUAGGCGGCCAUUUAAGUCAAAUGUGAAAUCCCCGAGCUUAACUUGGGAAUUGCAUUCGAUACUGGAUGGCUAGAGUAUGGGAGAGGAUGGUAGAAUUCCAGGUGUAGCGGUGAAAUGCGUAGAGAUCUGGAGGAAUACCGAUGGCGAAGGCAGCCAUCUGGCCUAAUACUGACGCUGAGGUACGAAAGCAUGGGGAGCAAACAGG
RNAcentral lists this ribosomal RNA (431 nucleotides) under uncultured bacterium. Its description in RNAcentral is "bacterial SSU rRNA". It matches the Rfam family "Bacterial small subunit ribosomal RNA", at positions 354 to 776 of the family's 1533-position model. The record is from RNAcentral.